GCAAACUUGGUCAUUUAGAGGAAGUAAAAGUCGUAACAAGGUUUCCGUAGGUGAACCUGCGGAAGGAUCAUUAUCGUAGGGCUUCUGUCCUGUCGAGAUAGCGUCCUUGCCUAUUUUUUGGAGUACCUUUUCGUUUCCUCAGCAGGCUUGCCUGCUACUGGGGACACCUAAAACUCUUUGUAAAUACAGCAACUGUCUGAAAAAACAAACAAAAAUCAAAACUUUCAACAAUGGAUCUCUUGGUUCUGGCAUCAAUGAAGAACGCAGC
RNAcentral lists this unclassified non-coding RNA (268 nucleotides) under uncultured fungus. RNAcentral's name for it is "partial contains small subunit ribosomal RNA, internal transcribed spacer 1, and 5.8S ribosomal RNA". The stretch from base 1 to 73 matches the Rfam family "Eukaryotic small subunit ribosomal RNA", at positions 1759 to 1831 of the family's 1831-position model. Lineage: Eukaryota; Fungi. The record is from RNAcentral.